Molecule: ribosomal RNA, 770 nt
Filed under: uncultured Fusobacterium sp.
Lineage: Bacteria; Fusobacteriati; Fusobacteriota; Fusobacteriia; Fusobacteriales; Fusobacteriaceae
Description: bacterial SSU rRNA
Rfam family: Bacterial small subunit ribosomal RNA
Source: RNAcentral
ACGCGUAAGAACUUGCCUCUUAGACCGGGACAACAUCUGGAAACGGAUGCUAAUACCGGAUAUUAUGGUUUUUUCGCAUGGAGGAAUCAUGAAAGCUAGAUGCGCUAAGAGAGAGCUUUGCGUCCCAUUAGCUCGUUGGUGAGGUAACGGCCCACCAAGGCAAUGAUGGGUAGCCGGCCUGAGAGGGUGAACGGCCACAAGGGGACUGAGACACGGCCCUUACUCCUACGGGAGGCAGCAGUGGGGAAUAUUGGACAAUGGACCACAAGUCUGAUCCAGCAAUUCUGUGUGCACGAUGACGUUUUUCGGAAUGUAAAGUGCUUUCAGUCGGGAAGAAGUCAGUGACGGUACCGACAGAAGAAGCGACGGCUAAAUACGUGCCAGCAGCCGCGGUAAUACGUAUGUCGCAAGCGUUAUCCGGAUUUAUUGGGCGUAAAGCGCGUCUAGGCGGCAAGGAAAGUCUGAUGUGAAAAUGCGGAGCUCAACUCCGUAUGGCGUUGGAAACUGCCUCACUAGAGUACUGGAGAGGUAGGCGGAACUACAAGUGUAGAGGUGAAAUUCGUAGAUAUUUGUAGGAAUGCCGAUGGGGAAGCCAGCCUACUGGACAGAUACUGACGCUAAAGCGCGAAAGCGUGGGUAGCAAACAGGAUUAGAUACCCUGGUAGUCCACGCUGUAAACGAUGAUUACUAGGUGUUGGGGGUCAAACCUCAGCGCCCAAGCUAACGCGAUAAGUAAUCCGCCUGGGGAGUACGUACGCAAGUAUGAAACU